RNAcentral lists this ribosomal RNA (468 nucleotides) under uncultured bacterium. Its description in RNAcentral is "partial 16S ribosomal RNA". It matches the Rfam family "Bacterial small subunit ribosomal RNA", at positions 28 to 507 of the family's 1533-position model. The record is from RNAcentral.
GACGAACGCUGGCGGCGUGCUUAACACAUGCAAGUCGAACGGAAAGGCCCUGCUUUUGUGGGGUGCUCGAGUGGCGAACGGGUGAGUAACACGUGAGUAACCUGUCCUUGACUUUGGGAUAACUUCAGGAAGCUGGGGCUAAUACCGGAUAGGAGCUCCUGCUGCAUGGUGGGGGUUGGAAAGUUUCGGCGGUUGGGGAUGGACUCGCGGCUUAUCAGCUUGUUGGUGGGGUAGUGGCUUACCAAGGCUUUGACGGGUAGCCGGCCUGGGAGGGUGACCGGCCACAUUAGGACGGGGAUGCGGCCCAGACUCCAACGGGAGGCAGCGGUGGGGAAGAGUGCACAAUGGGCGGAAGCCUGAUGCAGCAACGCCGCGUGCGGGAAGACGGCCUUCGGGUUGUAAUCCGCAUUCGCCUGUGACGAAGCGUGAGUGACGGUAAUGGGUAAAGAAGCACCGGCUAACUACGUG